Molecule: ribosomal RNA, 510 nt
Filed under: uncultured bacterium
Lineage: Bacteria
Description: partial 16S ribosomal RNA
Rfam family: Bacterial small subunit ribosomal RNA
Source: RNAcentral
GACGAACGCUGGCGGCGUGCUUAACACAUGCAAGUCGAACGAAGAGCGAUGGAAGCUUGCUUCUAUCAAUCUUAGUGGCGAACGGGUGAGUAACGCGUAAUCAACCUGCCCUUCAGAGGGGGACAACAGUUGGAAACGACUGCUAAUACCGCAUACGAUCUAAUCUCGGCAUCGAGGAUAGAUGUAAGGUGGCCUCUACAUGUAAGCUAUCACUGAAGGAGGGGAUUGCGUCUGAUUAGCUAGUUGGAGGGGUAACGGCCCACCAAGGCGAUGAUCAGUAGCCGGUCUGAGAGGAUGAACGGCCACAUUGGGACUGAGACACGGCCCAGACUCCUACGGGAGGCAGCAGUGGGGAAUCUUCCGCAAUGGACGAAAGUCUGACGGAGCAACGCCGCGUGAGUGAUGACGGCCUUCGGGUUGUAAAGCUCUGUUAAUCGGGACGAAAGGCCUUCUUGCGAAUAGUGAGAAGGAUUGACGGUACCGGAAUAGGAAGCCACGGCUAACUACGUG